Molecule: long non-coding RNA, 656 nt
Filed under: Brassica napus (rape)
Lineage: Eukaryota; Viridiplantae; Streptophyta; Magnoliopsida; Brassicales; Brassicaceae
Description: long non-coding RNA (BNAP_LNC011590)
Source: RNAcentral
UUUUAAAACCAUAAUUAUUAUUUUUAGAUAAAUAUUGAUUGUGUUAAGUCAAACAUACAAAUUAAGGAUAUUUUGCAACAAAUACAAUAAGAUUAAAUGAUCCAUUUGGUAAGUGAUAUAUAUUAUCAAUAUUUCUAACAACAAUACAAUGUGAACAACUCUGAACCAACUCCAUCUCGUUUUGUAUUUUUUUGUUCUCUGUUUCUCUCUGCCAAUAAUGGAGGAUGACAUUGUAUCCAAAUCCUCAGUACUUAAAAGGUGAGCACAAAAUCCUCCGUAUCAAUACUCCCACUUUUUUUAUAUUUUUUAAAAGAAAAUUGUAUUUUAUUGUUACAGUUUUAGUUUUGAUGUGGGAGAAGUAUCCACUGAAUAAAUCAACUUUAAAAAUGGGUGUUGGUCGAGCUGUCAACUGUCUAACCAUUCGAGCCUUUUUAUCUUACUUUCCGUUUCUCCUCGUUUUCUUUUUUGCAGAUGUGUAAAAGACACAAGAUGCAUUUAUACUUCCCUCUUUGUCUUUUUCUUAUUAUUUUAAAACCAGAUGUGAAAUGCGUGGAUUAUAUUGUUAUAUAUAUUUUCUUUUAGUGUAAUAUAAAUAUACGAUAUCAAUUGCUUAUUUUGUUCUUAAAAAAAUACAAAAUUUAAAUUUGGAAAUCAAC